UAUUCUCAACGCCUUCAGGACAACACCUAGCUUCCCCCUCCGAUAACCCCCCUGACCACUCCCUGAUCCGGCCAAGCCAACUCUCUUAGGCUUUUUGUCCUGUCCUGGAUUCAUUUGGAGGAUUCACCAUCAAAUCUCUGUAAGAAACGCUCCCUGAAACCAAUUUAUUAGCAACAAAACAUGUGUUCCAAUGAACACAGCAGGCUGAAAAGAAAAAAUCCCAUUUAGGUAGGCAACAAGAGAAGGCCUAGUAUCUCUACGGCAUCUUUUUUUGGGGGGGGAGGAGGGAAGAGCCAAACCUCCAUCCUCGCUAGGGAGUUCCUGGAUGUCCUUCAGCUCAUGGCAAGAUACAGUUCAACACCCUUGAGUGCUGCUGAAGAGGGUCAGAGGCUGGUCAGGCCCAGCUAUUGUGACCUAAAGACCCUGGUCAGCCAGCAUAUCCCCUGAUGGCUAACUCUGAGAAGGGAGGGGUGGGCCCAUGGCUCAACCCCGUUAUGCCAUAAGUGCGCCUGCUCCAGAGGGUCAGCUCUGACCCAGGGAACUUCUAGUUUCUAACCCCUGCUACUGACUGUGCUAGUAUGGUCAAAGGGAAGGUCAAGAACUAUUGGAACUCUGUGUUCUGAACACAUCUUCCAAUCGCUCUCAUUUAUCUAAAGGUUGGCUCACCUCCUUCCAGUGUAGCCCCAAUGACCCCUUGUUUCUUCAUGCUUUUUUACUUUUUAUUGAAAAUAUAAGCCCUAUGUUUCUUCCCACAUAUAAGAAGCUGGCUUGCUUUGCAAAAUGAUUCUAAUAUUGCCAGGUGUUGAAAGAUUGCAAGAAGGUCAACUAGCCUGAAGCCACGUUAGCUCGCUAAUUAAUAGUGAAAGAAAGCAGACACACUAGCUGGCAGAGAUGUGUUUGUUUUUAUACUUAGGUCUAAUGUAAUUGCUCCUCACACUUAUUGAAAUGUCCUUGUGUAGAACUGAGAAAUAAGUUUCAGUUGUUUCUCACCUCCAAAGGAAAAACUAUUUUCUUUUUUCCUUCCUGCAGCCCCAUUAAAUGAAUUAUAAACUGUAUUUCUGUCUCUGCUGGGCCUCUCAGUCUUAAUCCAUUUUGCAUAACAGAGAGGCAAGGUGGCCUUGAAAAGACUAGAUGCUCCACGUAACAGAGUACUAAAAAUGCAACAUUUUGCAGGAGACAGAAGAAUGGAUUUAUACCUUUGUUUUAAAGCAAUGUGCGGUUAUGAUAUUGUAUAGUAGGUAAAAGCAUAUUUCUUAGACGAUGAAAAGUAAGCAUGAGGUGUUCAUGAGCUGUCCAUGUGCUCAGAUGACCAAUUGGAGCCUUGGAAAGGACUGGGCACAAGGGAAUCAUGGAUGGGAAAAUAUUAUAAAAUGUCUUUGUAACCUACUGCCCUGGGUCCAGAAUUUGGAGAAUUCUUCUGGGCCAUUUUAUGCUUUCUGCAGACUGCAAUAAAUCUUAUCACUUUG
Podarcis raffonei (Aeolian wall lizard) is the source of this 1466-nucleotide long non-coding RNA. RefSeq lists it as uncharacterized. The record is from RefSeq and is a predicted model, not a curated record. The transcript is spliced from 2 exons. NCBI's taxonomy places the organism in Eukaryota, Metazoa, Chordata, Lepidosauria, Squamata, Lacertidae.